CCGCCAUCUACGUAAGACUUGGCUUGCUCCUCCUUGCCUUCUACCAUGAUUGUGAGGCCUCUCCAGUCAUGUGGAACUGUGCCCAAAGGAGAGAGAGAAUACACUUGAACAUUCCGACUUUAAAGCUAUCUUAUGGGAUAGAACACAUUGAUUAUUUCCUCAUUUAUGGAUGCCAAAACUCAUUUCAGCUUUAUACCAGUUCUAUUAUUGGG
Molecule: long non-coding RNA, 212 nt
Organism: Symphalangus syndactylus (siamang)
Lineage: Eukaryota; Metazoa; Chordata; Mammalia; Primates; Hylobatidae
Source: RefSeq, a predicted model, not a curated record